RNAcentral lists this ribosomal RNA (465 nucleotides) under Vreelandella stevensii. Its description in RNAcentral is "partial 16S ribosomal RNA". It matches the Rfam family "Bacterial small subunit ribosomal RNA", at positions 338 to 795 of the family's 1533-position model. Lineage: Bacteria; Pseudomonadati; Pseudomonadota; Gammaproteobacteria; Oceanospirillales; Halomonadaceae. The record is from RNAcentral.
CCUACGGGCGGCAGCAGUGGGGAAUAUUGGACAAUGGGGGCAACCCUGAUCCAGCCAUGCCGCGUGUGUGAAGAAGGCCCUCGGGUUGUAAAGCACUUUCAGUGAGGAAGAACGCCUGGUGGUUAAUACCCAUCAGGAAAGACAUCACUCACAGAAGAAGCACCGGCUAACUCCGUGCCAGCAGCCGCGGUAAUACGGAGGGUGCGAGCGUUAAUCGGAAUUACUGGGCGUAAAGGGCGCGUAGGUGGCUUGAUAAGCCGGUUGUGAAAGCCCCGGGCUCAACCUGGGAACGGCAUCCGGAACUGGCAAGCUAGAGUGCAGGAGAGGAAGGUAGAAUUCCCGGUGUAGCGGUGAAAUGCGUAGAGAUCGGGAGGAAUACCAGUGGCGAAGGCGGCCUUCUGGACUGACACUGACACUGAGGUGCGAAAGCGUGGGUAGCAAACAGGAUUAGAUACCCUAGUAGUC